Molecule: long non-coding RNA, 10347 nt
Filed under: Monomorium pharaonis (pharaoh ant)
Lineage: Eukaryota; Metazoa; Arthropoda; Insecta; Hymenoptera; Formicidae
Description: uncharacterized LOC114255369
Source: RNAcentral
GCAAGAUAAAUCGAGAUUAAAAUUGAUCUACAUACGUAGAAAUAAACAUAAGUUGACUGGUAAACAAUUAUAUUUGCAAGUGAAAUGCAAAAGAAAUGAUAAACAAGUAAUAAGUAACUCACUUGAUUCAUUACUCCGUUGUCGCCCGAUGCCCUCGUCCUGCUCGUCCAGGCCUGCUCCCCUCCUCCCCUCCUCCUAUCCUCUGUGGCACUCACACAACGUUCACUCGCGGAAAUGAGGUUAAGCGCGACCGCGACACUCUGCGCCCAUUGAACACCGGAAGAGCGACGAUCACACGAUACUUUGAACACCAUGCCGACGCGUUAAUCGUACAGACGAGUCGCGACGAAGAUACGUCUCAACGAGAAAAUAAUACGUAACGUGAGAAUAAUGACUCCCGCACACACGGAACGCGACGCGAUGCUUGCCGCGCGACGCAAGUUGACACGGCAGCUAAUCAAUUUACUGCCUUUACAUAAGAGCGAAAGAAUGACUGCGGCUACCGCGUUUCCCUGCACGCGACGAGCGUUUCCGCGUUUCCUGUGUGCAGCAGAAUCGUAAAGCGAGAGGAAGACGUACACGGCCGUGCGCGCGUAUCGAGAGUUUUCCGGUGUACGCGACGCGACGAGAGAAUUCGAAACGCAGCUAAGUUCAUACCGACGCCACCCGCUACACGGUGGAGCUACACCCGCACUUUCGCGUGCACUAAUCGCGACCGCCGCGCUCUCGCUUAAUUCAGUUCGUAUUUUACUCGCGUUUCGGGACGAUUAUUCCUAGUAUUUCGUACUGUUGUGACACUUGCAACACGAACGGGAGACUGGAACACAGCCCGCGAUUUGGAGGAGACUAUCCGGAAAUACAAUAUCGAAGCAUAACAUCGGUCGAUCGUGUGCUCACACACAGAUUUUCGAAUAAAUACGUGUAGGGUCGCAACACAACGUACGCGUUCCCAACAACUCUGUUCGCGUGAACGUUUUCAAUCGCACAGUUCGUAGAUAUCAAGAUACGGCUCCAAUUACUUACUUAUUGUAUGCGUCGCGACGCCGAGUCGAACAGGAAUACAAGAGUCAUCGCGGAGAUACGAGAGUCAUCGCGGAGAUCAGCAAAUGUGAAUCGACCGUCUCGCACUGGAAAUUCCGCUGCCGAAUGAAGGUUAAGAUGGCUGGAUACGAUGUUAAUCGAUUUAUCGGACGUCGGGUGGGACAAUUUCACUUUGCGUGCCUCUCUCAAAUGCGGAAUCGACGCGAAGAGUUUCAAGCUGAAUAGAAGAGAAAAAGAGCGAUUUUGUGCUGCUCGUAAAUCGUCGACGGAUAAUCCUGACGGGACCGUGCUGGUUGCGCAGCAACCGUAGCUACGAUUCAAAAAAUCACAGAGCGUGCGAACGCAAGUGGCAAUUACUUCCUUGUAGCCGAGCGUCAUCGAUCCACGCAUCGAUUUCGUCAAACCUUUACUCACCUGACUUGCCGCGGAACGGGGAAACGAUGGCGAUCUAAUGAAAUCUCGACGAUCGAUAACGCGAGAGCAUCGUGUCCCGGACGCAAUAUCGCGGCCACGUUAACGCCGCCUGUGUAUCAACCGCCAAGAAUGAAGCGACUGCGACAACACGGGGCAACGGCGGGUAGCUUGCGACAGCACAAGCACAGCCAGCAGCGAUAGCGCUUUAUAAACUUCUUCCAUUCCGGAUGAAGCCCGGGGUCGGGGUAGAAGCGUACACCCGGUUUUCAUUGCAAAAUAAGCCGCUUCGAGCGACGACAGAUAGGUAGGUAUACUAUCCGCCUACCGAAGGAUUAGGGAAAUCGGGUUUACAGCAUGGCACGGAUCCCGCGGCGCGAGAGGGAGGACGACGACGUGAAAAUCUUUGCCGGAGCGUCUUAGCUCUAUUUACCUCUCUUUUCGAGAGAUCGCGAUGCAGAUAGGCUUGCAUGUUGGUAACUGCACCUUACUCGGCUGCAGGUUGAUGCGGCGGUCUCUCAAAGAGCGCCGAGUUGCGUCUGCCCCCCCCCCCUCUCUCUCUCCUCCACCCUCUCAAUAGUUUUGCACUCGUGCAAGAAGAUGCAGAACGCUCUGUCCCGACACGUCAUCACGUCUAUGAGUUUAUAGCUCUCGAGAGACAUUCCGAUGCGUCGUUUACGCACUACUUCCCAUUUGCUUUUCGUGACGAGGCAAUCUCAAAGUAGGCGCAGAAUUACGUACGUUUCGAAUAAAGAUGCUGAAAAAUUAUGUCGGAAUUUUAGCAGGAGCAAUAUAUAUAAUAUAUAUAUAAAAGUAACUAUGAGAAAAACGAAACAUUGCAAUUAUAUCGAAAUAUAUUUUUUCUCGAUCACAUUUAAUUUCAUAAAUUGUUUAUAAUUUCUUUGUGAUUCAUGUUUCGAGUAAAAAAUCGAUUGUUUUCCGUACACAAUUUCAUACAGCCAUAUUAUUUUUCAAAAACUUUCAAUGAUCUGUAUCAAAUAAUUAAUAAGUCACUUGUUAAGUCUCGUAUAAGUGGCCACUCUAUUGAAUCUCUGUCACGCGGUAUCCUUUGUCAGAGGCACUUACCGCUCUCGCAAAUGAUUGGUGAAACCGAGCGAAGUACGUUAAGUACUUUGCAAGACAAUAACCAGCUUUGAAUCCACUUACUACGUCGGUAAUUACGGCAUCGUGAAAAGUGCGAGGCCGCUGGAUUUGUGUGAAUAAUCAAUAAAAAAAAGGACGCGUAAAGAAGAGCUCGCGGGAAAAAGAAGAGAACGAAGAGAAGGAGAGUGUAGAGAAAGUAACGCUAGGGCAUGCGAGUGAAGAACAGCGGAGAGGUCGGAAUACCGAUAACAAAGCGUCCACAACGAGAGAGAGAGAGAGAGAGAGAGAAAGAGAGACGUGGCUUAUUACGCGAGAUGCCGUCUGUCUUUGCGCGACCGAGUAAAAUCGUUUAAUUCACAAAUAUAGAGGAUUUACGAUCGAUUGAAUUCGGCCCAGUUCCGCGCAUUGUCGCGUGGCAAACAAAGGCCGAUGGCGAGGACACGAGGGUGUUGUCAAAUCGACGCAAGGGUAGACUCCCGUGCAGAAGUUUGCUUUUAAUCGCGGACAAAUGCCGUGUGCUAUUUCUCUCCCCGGCCUGAAUAACAAGGCAGAAAUGAUCAAAGAAGAGUAAUUGCAAAUUAAAAUCUGGAUUAAUGCAUUCGCCUCCUGUUUUUACAGGAGCCCUGCCGGGGCAAUUCUAGUAAAUAUAUUACCAUUAAUUUUCAAUCACGAUUAUACCUUUUGAAAACAUUCGACAGCUUCGCUGUAAUUCAUCGACUCUGCAUUGUUAAUUGGAGUGCUUCCGCGGCAUGACAAGCAAGAAAUUGCAAAAUACGUGAUUAUGAUAAUUUGCCCGGUGAAGCAUUCAGCUAAUUGAAUAAAGCAAUCAUAUUAUUGGCAUAAUGCUGCGAUGUUAAGUAAUCAAUGCACUCAGUUGUUUACGAUUAUGAUGUAUCGUGUGUAUCGGCAAAUGUUGGAAGAAUAUCGAUUCGACCGCAUAGCGCAAAUUAAUCAUCCGUUGAAACGGGUCGCAACGCAUACGCGAACCCGGAGGAUAAUAUAGCGCGCGCCUCGAAUAGAUUUUAGUACCUCUAAUAAUCUCUGUAAGCAACAACGACGCGUUACCCCCAGCGCUGCACAUUGAAACAUCGACUCGCGUGCACCACGUGCAUCGCCUGAUACACUUUAUAAUACAUCUGAGAGCAUAUUCAGGUGUUCGAAGCGCGCGGCGGAGCACUGUUCCACAAAGUUCGAGAGUCUCGAUAGGUACCUGGUUACAGGUUAAUCGUCCGUUAAGAGACUUUGACCAACACGCAGUGCGAACUAUCCGCCCUACAAGAAGUUAGUGCUAGUAAUUACCAAUUAUACGCUACCGAAGACAGUAAUUGGAGGUAUGGCCAGAUUUCAGACACCUUUGCUGAGAAAGUUGCAGAGAGAGUGCCACGCUUAUUAAAGUCAUAGUGGUGUACAACUUCGCUCUUUCGCGUCUCAUAUUCGUCCGUUCUAUGAAAUAAAUCGUCUUCCAUUUCCAUGCAAUUUCUCGUAAAGAGUAUUCAUACUUACAGACUUAAAAAAAAAAAGAGAUCGAUAAAAUAUAAAAGAAUCUACUUACGCGCAGGCUUAUUCCUGUGUGCGAAAUACGAAAUAGCCGAAUGUCGCUUUUGCAUCCUAAAUCGAAUCUGCAUCGCGAUGUGGCAAUUUCAACCCAGAUCUUAAUCUUAAUUAACGCGAAUCUCCGCGCGAGACGCGAGGGAAAUGGAAACGAGGCGAAAAUGUUGUUCCCCCGCGUAACAGUGUAAUUUCGCACGCGGAUUAUAGAUCUAAGGGUGACACCUUUUCGUAAGGGUAGAAUUGGAAGCCCAGUCAGCUAAAUUCGGUUUCCAACUCCACGGGAGUCCGGGAGCUAGCGCCAGGAGGAGGCAGGCCACGCACCGAGGCGGACCGAAGUCCUACGUUGCAUCGAACUGGCUGUUUGUACACGCGCUGCGUAUGUAGCCGGCUGCCGAGAGGGAAAUGUUUCUGGAGUGCACGUCCCCUGCAGCCGUGCCACGGUGCACGCACAGGGCUUUGUUUAAGCCGGUAUUAUUGCUGCGGAAAUUGGGGUCUGACGCGAGAGGCUGUUGAUUCUCCGCGUACGAGGGAUGUUGGUUGAAAGGCGAGAAUCGACGGUGCCGCUUGUACCAGCGCGGCGACAGAGUUUGCUUUGGCGCUUUAUCGUCCUGCUUACGAUGCGUUCCUUCCGCAUUACGAUCAGAGCGGGUGUAAUGUAUUAAGGGCGCUUACGCGACGUCGCCGUAACGAAUGGAUUGCGGCGCGUCAAAUGGAUGUAUUUCUUCGCGUGUACGUCAAGUACGUCGUUUCCUCGCCGAUCAAUUAAUCGUGUCGACGGAAAGACGCGCGCGCGCGUGAACGGCAUUGUAAUUUAUUUACUUGAACGACAAUUUAAACGGGGAUUCUCCAGUUGCGCUAUUACUAUAAACGAAUUCAUCAUCUCGAGCAACAAAAUUUACAAAACCGAAUUAACGCCGUCAGUCAUUCGACUUAUGACCGCGAAAACAUAAGUACAAAGGACUGAUCGUAUUGCAAACCGUACAAGCGUGUUUUAAUCGUGAAAAACAUUUCGUCACGUUGCUAAAUGAAGCAUUUUCCAAAUGCGCGAGAAAAAGGUGACGAAAGACGAGGAUGAGACACAAGGGAAAAGAGAAUAGAUGCAAAUAAGAGAUUGUUCUUGCGGCUUUGCUCAGUCUCUCUCUCUCUCUCUCUUUCUCUCUCUCUCUCUCUCUUUCUAAAGAGAGGAAAGAGAGGAAAGAUAGAGAAUAAGACCGAGAAGGACCAAAGAUAGAGAAACCGCGGCGUGAUUAAGUGCGUGUCAAAGCCCUACUUUACCCUACUGCGCGGCAGCUUCUUGUACUAACUAUAGUCUAUCCUGCACGACACUCAUCCUCUUUAUGUGACCACCGUGUAAAAGAUAUAUGCUGCUCUCUCUCUCUCUCUCUCUCUCUCUCUCUCUCUCUCUCUCUCUCUCUGUCUGUCACGCUGUUUAUUGAGCUCUAUCUGCGCACGUAGCGUAGUGAAGAGUAACCAGAGCAAUCAUUCAUCAGAUUCGCAAAUCGUAAUCGUAGACGUCUCGGCUUGCCAUUUGCAUUACAUUAGUUUUGCAACGAGAAAUUACAUGAGCUUACGUGUCCUCUGCACUGCUUUGCAAACUAUCGAAAAUAAAAAGGUAAAUCCAGAGCUUUAUUCCUUUCUAAGUUAAUCUUAUUGUAUAUUCAAUUUGUCAAUGAAUGUUCUUCUUUCGCAAGAAAAUCACUUAAAAUGAAGAUUAAAAUGCAACAGAGCAGAUUUGAACAAGUAAUCUGAUUUAGAAUUUGCUUCAGCUUGGCGUCGUGUAAUUUCAACUCUGAUUUCGGUUGGAAUUUCAACCGUGAUCUAUCUGAAACGCCGCUCGUCUCUGAGGCAAGCGUACGAUAUACACGCGGUAUUCUAUUCACUAGAGUGCGACAAAAGGGGUACAUCUCUAUAGGCCCAGAAGUAGGAAUUCUCGUAUACUCGAUUCAUCCGAUUCCGUGCAAGAGGAGCGCUGAAUCUAGAGAUUUCAUGUCUUUGUGCGAUAUAACGCGCGCGAAUUCAUUGGAGACUCCGCGACAAUCGUACUCGCGUGCAUCAGUUUUUAUAAACAUCACUAUUAGUAUAAGAAUUAUUUUUUCGAUCGUUAAGAGGGUUUCUUGCCUUGUGAAUUUUCUUCUGCCUAAAAUUUAUCCUCAGCUCCGUAUUGGCCUUUUAAUUGGUACAAUAAAGCAGACAUUUUGUUUAACUGCGAGUUCUUGCAACGCGUACCGAAACUGUCGUGCGUCGCGAUGAUCGAAACGAAAGUUAAUUUUAAAUUCUAACACAUAGCCACGUAUCUCCGACAUUUGCCCAAUCUUAUAAUCCACGCACAUGCACUUGCGGCUACAAAGCAGGCAUUAGUGCCACCUCCGGUAUCGGUGCCCCGGCGCGGCGUGGAGAACAUAAACGUACAGACGCGGUCGUUAAAGCGGCAGCUACGACGAUGCCGUUGUCGUCUCCGGUAUCCAAGACGACGUCGAGAUCGCACCGCGGUGAUACCGCUACGUUAUCCGCGGACGAAUCGAAACGCAGUUGCCAAGUUGAAAUGCCAGUUUCGAAUGCGCGUUACUCUACCUCUCUCUCUCUCUCUCUCUCUCUCUCUCUCUCUCUCUCUCUGUGUGUCCCUCUCUCUUUCUCUCUUGUCCCGGCAAUUUCGAGCCCGAAAUCACGGCCGAAAUUCGCUUCGACCCAGCCCCUCCGUCGGCCGAUAUCGACUCGGGGGAACCCGUGUCGUUGCGGUUCCGAGUCGAGCAUGGCGUACGGUUGUGUAUCGGCGGAGGCGACGCGUUGGCCGCAACCAGCUCGCGGACUAUUAUUUGAACGGUUAUUGGUAUGAUAGCGCGUAUCUGCGCGUCGUGCAUCACGGCGCCAACUCUACGGUUGUCAUCCUGAUUUCGGGGCUUUCUCUCGCCCCCCCUCGUCUCGUCCCUCAUCCCCCCCUUGGCGGCAUCUCCACCACUGUACCGCCUGUCCUACCGUGCUACUACUGCGUUCCCCCCCCCCCUCGCGCACUUGUAUCUACAACCUACGCCGCAACCCGGGCUGCCCUGUCACCCCUCCACGCGGUCUCUGCCUGCUCCUCUGGGACGACUCGCCGCAUAAAUGUAUGUUUCCAGGAUUUCUGGUUGUCUGCCGAAUGAAUUAUGGAGGCUCGACGACCGACGCCCGCCACCGCCACCGCCGCCGCCGCCGCCGCCGCCGCCAUCGCCGCCAUUGGCGUUACCCUCCACCCUUGCCGGUCGAGAUUGCGAGAGUGGAAAUCAUUCUAGAGAAAAGAGGCGCGUUUUCCUCGUUGUACAGCUGUACGAUAUUUACGCUGAUAGGAAGCACGGAUCCUUACAAUUAUAGUGAUAGAUGAUACGUAAAGGUGAAUGAUUAACAGUCAACGCUGAAUUUUGUCACUGAUAAACUCUAUGCGGAAUUUACGACGUUUAUACGCGUACCUAUCAAAACUUUUGAUUAAUGAUAAAGUGUAUCCUCUUUUAAUCUUCCCGGGACUUCGAGAAAAAAGAUAGAAAGGAGAAAUUAUCGCGUGGUAGAUUAGUCGCGAAAAUAAAACUGCAGACAUCUGAUUAACGAGAUUGUAUUCUAUUGUAACUUCUCUCUGUUCCAAUCCCCCUCCCCCCGUUCUUCUAAUCUUAAAAACGUCGUUCCGCUAUCCAACGUCUUACUGAGACAAACAACGUCGAUCUGUAGACUGCAUACGCAGCGGAACUAUGUAUUUGCUAAUUACUGCGUUCUGAGCGCAGUUAAAGUAUAUAAUUGGUAGCAACAGCAAUAUGCAAUUAAUAGCAAACACUAUGUAAUUACCACGGUUGUAAUCACAUUGCCAGUGUAAUCUGAUGCUACUAUUCACUCGAACGAUACCCGUCGUCCAUCACAGGUUUGAUAUAUCGUUACGCUAUAACCCGUAUACCGACGAUGUGCCAUUCUUACAGCGACGGGCCAAGCGCCCGUAAUUACCGUCCACACUUUCGUCCCGGGCCGUCAUCGCGAUAACAUCAGCGGGCGAUAUUCCCUCGAAAGUGCGCCACUGUUUUCUCAACGCCCUUAUCAACUUUUUCAUCUUUCCUCCGUUAUUCCGUUUCUCACCGCGCUCUAAGCGCGCCGACGAGGAGGAAAACUUCUGCCCGCGCGCGCCGAACUUCCCCAUUGUAUCGCCGAAGGGAAAAUGCGAUGACGGCGCAUUUGAAUCUCAGCCACGACAAUAAUCGCGAUUACGGUAAUCGCGGCAACGUGACGGAAUGUAUUCUCACGCCGCCGUGCGCAAACCGCGCGCGCCAGCAUGUUCCGGCUCUGACAGUAACUUUUAAUUUCUAUCGCGUGCACUCGCGCGCGUUAAAAUAUAGAGGGUCGCUACGAUCUUGCUGGAGGCUCGUGGAAAUCGCCUUGCACGACCGGCCAGGCCGUUCGAGAAAAUUAUUCUCAAAUAGCGCCUUCCGCGGACAAUUUUGCCUAUGGUAAUGCCUGGCAUAAACCUAACAUCCGGUUUUAUUGGCUCUAUCGCCUUUGGAAUGCGAAAACGCGUCACACGCGUAUGCAAAUGAUUUUGUGAUGCAAGGCAGAUGGUUGAAUUUGAGAAAGAACGAGUCGCGCUUUUGGCGCUAUAAAAUAUAAAGUUGAGAUACUUCCGGUUUAUCGCCACUUUAUCGCAUGACUUUGAAACACAUUCGGGUAAACGCAGUUUCGGCGAGUCGUAAGAAAGUCGUGACCGAGUUCCCUAAAACAUCCCUUAGAAUCUUUGAACCGCUUCUUCGUGAUUUAUCUGAUUACGAGAUCGUCUCGACGAGAACGCUCAGUUUUUUGACCCAAUUAAAAAAAAAAUCGAAAUUGCGUGACGCCUUCUGCGGGAAAAUUCCAAGCGGCAAACGAAGACAAAAGGAGGAGAUGUAUAAACGAGAGAACGGUACGCACUCAGAAACUCGGGUGUUGCUUUCUGUCAUAACAAUUUGCUAAAACGGGGUCGAUAGGAAAGGACGAGAAGUUAUAGCGAUGCUACUGUUUGAAAUGAUCUCGACACAAGGGUACGAGUACCUCCUCGAGCGGGGCCUCGUAUCCUUGUUUUCGUAGCAUUCCCAGUCGCCGGAUGUAGAGGGUGGGUUGAUUAAUCGCGCCGAAAGCUCCGCGUGGACAGUUAUGCACGAAUGUUCGAUUGCAUUUAUUGCACCCCCAAUCCCACCGUCGAACGGCGGUAAAGUUACGCCUGAGUGCCGGAGAAUAUUAUUACGGUUCAUUAUCACGGGGCGGGAGGGGGAUUAAACAGUUCAAAAUAUACAACGCUACGGAAAGUUGAUUGCGCCCCCGCGAAAGCGAGAUUGCCGCGCAGCGGAAAAGCAGGCUGCAUGAAAACGCUCUCUUUAACCUGCCGAUAUAUAUCACUUAAUAAUGUGAAACGCUCGUCGAGCGCGCUGACGAGCGGCGAAAUUGCAGAAAAGCUGAGUAUUCGUGAAUCCUUUGAGGGUGAUAAGAAGCGCUUCUUAAGCCGUGAAUAAAUAAGCAGUCUUCCGUGGAUUAAGCGGAGUACUCAUUCCCAAUCGUGCUCUAGACCGCUCCUGCGAAUAACAAAUGCGCAGUAAACAUGGCAAAUUAUUGGUAAAUCUUCAGACUGGUAAAACACUAGAGAGAAGUAGCGAUUUUAUUUUAAAUUUCGCCAGAACAUUAAAACGAUCGUUAAGAGAUUCAUUUGGAGAGAUGAGUGAAUUUCAGCAAAGCUAGACAGUGGUGAAUAUUCAAUCGCGCGAAGACGAAAUCGUUUCUUGCUCGAUCAUAAAAGUUCGAUGACAUUCGAUUCUUCGUAAGCACUUCUUCUCUUAAUUAGAAUUUCGUUUAUGCGCGUAAAUGAUUUUUCGCGGCUGAUUGCGGCUCUUAUACUCUUAAGGUAGCACAAAGCAAUGGUAAAUGUGCAUUUGCGAGCGAUCCCACGUUCACCUAGAUCGACAUAACGAAGACUUUGCAAUGUAAAUUCAUCCCACAUGCGGUUUCGUUUAACGAACUCCUCUUUGUCCAUGCUUUUAGCGCCGCACAUGCGUGCUGCCCCGAACAUUUACGUCGUAAUUACGUCGCGGCAAAGUGAUAGAGCGUCGCCCCACGGUGUCCACAAACGGGUAAAGACGACAAAAUAAUAAUCGCAAGAGUUUAAACGAUACCGCGAUGUGGACAUUUUCAUGGAAUUCUCUCGCGCCACUACCGUCGUUCUUCCUAUUCGCAAAAUUCGCAGAGAUGCCGUUGCGGUUGCAAACGUUG